Mobula hypostoma (lesser devil ray) is the source of this 92-nucleotide small nucleolar RNA. RefSeq annotates it as small nucleolar RNA SNORD14. The record is from RefSeq and is a predicted model, not a curated record. NCBI's taxonomy places the organism in Eukaryota, Metazoa, Chordata, Chondrichthyes, Myliobatiformes, Myliobatidae. The transcript has a single exon.
UCACAAUGAUGAUUUUGUCUAAUCAUUCGCAGUUUCUACCAGAAUGGUAUUUUCCUGCAUGAUGGCAAACCCUUCCUUGGAUGUCUGAGUGA